CACGGCGCACGGGUGCGUAACACGUGGGCAAUCUGCCCUCCGGUGGGGAAUAACCCCGCGAAAGCGGGGCUAAUUCCGCAUAACAUUCCCUGGACUCUGGUUCGGGGACUCAAAGCAGCAAUGCGCCGGAGGAGGAGCCCGCGCCCGAUUAGCUAGUUGGUGAGGUAACGGCUCACCAAGGCAAUGAUCGGUAGCUGGUCUGAGAGGAUGACCAGCCACACUGGAACUGAGACACGGUCCAGACUCCUACGGGAGGCAGCAGUGGGGAAUCUUGCGCAAUGGGCGAAAGCCUGACGCAGCGACGCCGCGUGGGGGAUGAAGCUUCUCGGAGUGUAAACCCCUUUCGACCGGGACGAAUGCCCGCAAGGGAGUGACGGUACCGGUAGAAGAAGCCCCGGCUAACUACGUGCCAGCAGCCGCGGUAAGACGUAGGGGGCCAGCGUUGUUCGGAAUUACUGGGUGUAAAGGGUUCGUAGGCGGUGUGGCAAGUCGGGAGUGAAAUCUCUGGGCUUAACUCAGAGGCUGCUUCCGAAACUGCUGUGCUAGAGUGCGGGAGAGGCGUGUGGAAUUGCAGGUGUAGCGGUGAAAUGCGUAGAUAUCUGCAGGAACACCCGUGGCGAAAGCGGCGCGCUGGACCGUUACUGACGCUGAGGAACGAAAGCUAGGGGAGCAAACAGGAUUAGAUACCCUGGUAGUCCUAGCCCUAAACGAUCAGGACUUGGGGUGCCUUCCGUUCGGAAGUCGUCCCGGAGCUAACGCGUUAAGUCCUGCACCUGGGGAGUACGGUCGCAAGACUGAAACUCAAAGGAAUUGACGGGGGCCCGCACAAGCGGUGGAACAUGUGGUUCAAUUCGA
This 855-nucleotide ribosomal RNA is filed under the name uncultured bacterium. RNAcentral's name for it is "bacterial SSU rRNA". It matches the Rfam family "Bacterial small subunit ribosomal RNA", at positions 94 to 954 of the family's 1533-position model. The record is from RNAcentral.